UACGGGGGGGGCAAGCGUUGUUCGGAAUUACUGGGCGUAAAGGGUUUGUAGGUGGCUUGUUAAGUCAGACGUGAAAUCCCUCAGCUUAACUGGGGAACUGCGUCUGAUACUGGCGAGCUUGAGUGCAGGAGAGGAACGCGGAAUUCCAGGUGUAGCGGUGAAAUGCGUAGACAUCUGGAGGAACACCGGUGGCGAAGGCGGCAUCCUGGACCGGUAUUGACGCUGAGGCGCGAAAGCCAGGGGAGCAAACGGG
This 253-nucleotide ribosomal RNA is filed under the name uncultured bacterium. RNAcentral's name for it is "partial 16S ribosomal RNA". It matches the Rfam family "Bacterial small subunit ribosomal RNA", at positions 524 to 776 of the family's 1533-position model. The record is from RNAcentral.